Molecule: ribosomal RNA, 400 nt
Filed under: uncultured bacterium
Lineage: Bacteria
Description: bacterial SSU rRNA
Rfam family: Bacterial small subunit ribosomal RNA
Source: RNAcentral
UUUCGAAUUAUUCACAAUGGGCGAAAGCCUGAUGGUGCGACGCCGCGUGAGGGAUGAAGGUCUUCGGAUUGUAAACCUCUGUCACCGGGGAAGAAUGGCUAUGACCUAACACGUCAUGGAUUGACUUAACCCGGAGAGGAAGCAGUGGCUAACUCUGUGCCAGCAGCCGCGGUAAUACAGAGACUGCAAGCGUUAUUCGGAUUCACUGGGCGUAAAGGGUGCGCAGGCGGUUGCGUGUGUUGGAUGUGAAAGCCCGGGGCUCAACCCCGGAAUUGCGUCCAAAACUACGCGACUAGAGUACCGGAGAGGAUAGCGGAAUUCACGGUGUAGCAGUGAAAUGCGUAGAUAUCGUGAAGAACACCAGCGGCGAAGGCGGCUAUCUGGAAGGUAACUGACGCUC